GGUGAACGCUGGCGGCGUGCCUAAUACAUGCAAGUCGAGCGAACGGACGAGAAGCUUGCUUCCCUGAUGUUAGCGGCGGACGGGUGAGUAACACGUGGAUAACCUACUUAUAAUACUGGGAUAACUUCGGGAAACCGGAGCUAAUACCGGAUAAUAUUUUGAACCGCAUGGUUCAAAAGUGAAAGACGGUUUUGCUGUCACUUUUAGAUGGAUCCGCGCUGCAUUAGCUAGUUGGUAAGGUAACGGCUUACCAAGGCAACGAUGCAUAGCCGACCUGAGAGGGUGAUCAGCCACACUGGAACUGAGACACGGUCCAGACUCCUACGGGAGGCAGCAGUAGGGAAUCUUCCGCAAUGGGCGAAAGCCUGACGGAGCAACGCCGCGUGAGUGAUGAAGGUCUUCGGAUCGUAAAACUCUGUUAUUAGGGAAGAACAUAUGUGUAAGUAACUGUGCACAUCUUGACGGUACCUAAUCAGAAAGCCACGGCUAACUACGUG
Molecule: ribosomal RNA, 497 nt
Filed under: uncultured bacterium
Lineage: Bacteria
Description: partial 16S ribosomal RNA
Rfam family: Bacterial small subunit ribosomal RNA
Source: RNAcentral